This 425-nucleotide ribosomal RNA is filed under the name uncultured bacterium. RNAcentral's name for it is "partial 16S ribosomal RNA". It matches the Rfam family "Bacterial small subunit ribosomal RNA", at positions 354 to 796 of the family's 1533-position model. The record is from RNAcentral.
GUGGGGAAUAUUGGACAAUGGGCGCAAGCCUGAUCCAGCCAUGCCGCGUGAGUGAUGAAGGCCUUAGGGUUGUAAAGCUCUUUCAGUAGGGAAGAUAAUGACGGUACCUACAGAAGAAGCCCCGGCUAACUCCGUGCCAGCAGCCGCGGUAAUACGAAGGGGGCUAGCGUUGUUCGGAUUUACUGGGCGUAAAGCGCACGUAGGCGGAUUGGUCAGUUAGAGGUGAAAUCCCGAAGCUCAACUUCGGAACUGCCUUUAAUACUGCCAGUCUCGAGUCCGGAAGAGGUGAGUGGAACUCCUAGUGUAGAGGUGGAAUUCGUAGAUAUUAGGAAGAACACCAGUGGCGAAGGCGGCUCACUGGUCCGGUACUGACGCUGAGGUGCGAAAGCGUGGGGAGCAAACAGGAUUAGAUACCCCGGUAGUCC